CCUACGGGUGGCAGCAGUGGGGAAUUUUGCGCAAUGCUCGUAAGAGUGACGCAGCGACGCCGCGUGAAUGACGAAGGCCUUCGGGUCGUAAACUUCUUUCGUCAGGGACGAAAAUGCCUAUAAUUAACUGUGUAUGUAUUGCCGGUACCUGUAUAAGCAGCGCCGCCUAACUCCGUGCCAGCAGCCGCGGUAAUACGUAGGUGGCGAGCGUUGUUCGGAGUGACUGGGCGUAAAGAGCACGUAGGCGGUGGUGUAAGUCAUUAGUCAAAGACUAGAGCUCAACUUUAGGAAGGCUAGUGAUACUAUAAUACUAGAGUAUCAGAGAGGAUAGCAGAAUUCCUGGUGUAGCGGUGAAAUGCGUAGAUAUCAGGAGGAAUACCGGUAGCGAAGGCGGCAAUCUGGCUGGAAACUGACGCUGAGGUGCGAAAGCGUGGGGAGCAAACAGGAUUAGAUACCCGAGUAGUC
This 465-nucleotide ribosomal RNA is filed under the name uncultured bacterium. Its description in RNAcentral is "partial 16S ribosomal RNA". It matches the Rfam family "Bacterial small subunit ribosomal RNA", at positions 338 to 795 of the family's 1533-position model. The record is from RNAcentral.